This 426-nucleotide ribosomal RNA is filed under the name Chloroflexota bacterium. Its description in RNAcentral is "Chloroflexi bacterium partial 16S ribosomal RNA". It matches the Rfam family "Bacterial small subunit ribosomal RNA", at positions 358 to 776 of the family's 1533-position model. Lineage: Bacteria; Bacillati; Chloroflexota. The record is from RNAcentral.
GGAAUAUUGCACAAUGGGCGCAAGCCUGAUGCAGCCAUGCCGCGUGUGUGAAGAAGGCCUUCGGGUUGUAAAGCACUUUCAGCGGGGAGGAAGGCGUUAAGGUUAAUAACCUUGGCGAUUGACGUUACCCGCAGAAGAAGCACCGGCUAACUCCGUGCCAGCAGCCGCGGUAAUACGGAGGGUGCAAGCGUUAAUCGGAAUUACUGGGCGUAAAGCGCACGCAGGCGGUCUGUCAAGUCGGAUGUGAAAUCCCCGGGCUCAACCUGGGAACUGCAUUCGAAACUGGCAGGCUAGAGUCUUGUAGAGGGGGGUAGAAUUCCAGGUGUAGCGGUGAAAUGCGUAGAGAUCUGGAGGAAUACCGGUGGCGAAGGCGGCCCCCUGGACAAAGACUGACGCUCAGGUGCGAAAGCGUGGGGAGCAAACAGG